This 500-nucleotide ribosomal RNA is filed under the name uncultured bacterium. RNAcentral's name for it is "partial 16S ribosomal RNA". It matches the Rfam family "Bacterial small subunit ribosomal RNA", at positions 30 to 523 of the family's 1533-position model. The record is from RNAcentral.
AUUGAACGCUGGCGGCAUGCUUUACACAUGCAAGUCGAACGGUAACAGGGUGCUUGCACCGCUGACGAGUGGCGAACGGGUGAGUAAUGCGUCGGAACGCACCGAGUAAUGGGGGGUAACGCAGCGAAAGCUGUGCUAAUAACGCAUACGCUCUGAGGAGGAAAGCGGGGGACCUUCGGGCCUCGCGUUAUUCGAGCGGCCGACGUCUGAUUAGCUAGUAGGUGAGGUAAGAGCUCACCUAGGCGACGAUCAGUAGUGGGUCUGAGAGGAUGAUCCGCCACACUGGGACUGAGACACGGCCCAGACUCCUACGGGAGGCAGCAGUGGGGAAUUUUGGACAAUGGGCGCAAGCCUGAUCCAGCCAUGCCGCGUGUCUGAAGAAGGCCUUCGGGUUGUAAAGGACUUUUGUCAGGGAGGAAAUCCUUAGCGCUAAUACCGUUGAGGGAUGACAGUACCUGAAGAAUAAGCACCGGCUAACUACGUGCCAGCAGCCGCCGUAA